This 266-nucleotide long non-coding RNA is filed under the name Pelobates cultripes (western spadefoot toad). The record is from RNAcentral. Lineage: Eukaryota; Metazoa; Chordata; Amphibia; Anura; Pelobatidae.
UGUAGUGAGUGUAGAAGAAAGGGGACAUGCCACAGUGUUAGAGACCAACGUCUGCAUUACCUAAACUAACUUUAAUGUCAGCCAGUGCACACAAGUUUUGGUCCCAUACAUCCCUCUUAAGCUUCCAAACUUAAGGGGACACUAUAGUCACCAGAACAACUACAGCUUAUUGUAUUUGUUCUGGUAAGUAGAAUCAUUCCAUUCAGGCUUUUUGCAGUAAACACUGUCUUUUCAGAGAAAAUAACUCCACUGGCCGCUCCUUAGAU